GAUGAACGCUAGCGGCAGGCUUAAUACAUGCAAGUCGAACGGUAAGUUUGGUAGCAAUAUCAAACCAAGAGUGACGUACGGGUGCGUAACACGUAUGCAACCUACCUUGUACAGGAGUAUAGCUCGGGGAAACUCGAAUUAACCCUCAUGAGAUCAUAGAAUGGCAUCAUUUAGUGAUUAAAACUCAGGUGGUACAAGAGUGGGCAUGCGUCUGAUUAGAGUUGGCGGGUAAUGGCCCACCAAGACGAUGAUCAGUAGGGGACCU
RNAcentral lists this ribosomal RNA (265 nucleotides) under uncultured bacterium. Its description in RNAcentral is "partial 16S ribosomal RNA". It matches the Rfam family "Bacterial small subunit ribosomal RNA", at positions 28 to 293 of the family's 1533-position model. The record is from RNAcentral.